ACUGAGACACGGCCCAGACUCCUACGGGAGGCACCAGCUAAGAAUCUUCCGUAACUGCGGCGAAAGCCUGACGGAGCGACUCCGCGUGGACGAGGAAGGCCGGACGGUUGUAAAGUCCUUUACUCUGAUGAAGAAUAUGGCAGCGAGUGGAAUGCGCUGUCGAUGACAUUACUUGAGGAAUAAGCCCCGGCUAGUUACGUGCCACCAGCCGCGGUCUCCCGUUAUGGGCGAGCGUUGUUCGGAAUUCUUGGGCGUAUAGGGCGCCUAGGCGGCUGGCCAAGCCUGGUGUGAAAGCCCCCAGCCUAACUGGGGAGUGCCCUGGAACUCACAGCUAGAGUCUCGCAGGGAACAUGAAGUCAUGCCUUAGCGAGGAAUCAGUAGAUAUCAGGAAGAACAUCAGUGACGAAGGCGAGCUUCUGGCCAGAAACUGACGCUGAGGAGCGCAAGCAGUCGGGGAGCGAACAGGACUAGAUACCCUGGUAGUCCACGCAAGUAAACGAUCGAGCACUAGGUGACGGCAGUGAUAACGGUCAGUGCCGAAGCAAACGCGAUAAGCGCACCGCAUGGGGAGUAUGCUCGCAAGGGUGAGACUCAAAGGAAUGGACGGAGCACCGCACAAGCAACCGGAGCGUGUGCGUAUAAUUCGAUGCUACACGAACGAACCUCACCAGGGUUUGACAUGUAGGUGCUAAGUGAAUCGAAAGCUGAACGACCCUUCGGGGAGCAUACACAGCUGCUGCAUGGCGGUCGUCAGCUCGUGCCGCGAGGUGUCGGGUUAAGUCCCGUAACGAGCGCAACCAUUGCUCCUAGUUACAAGUGUCCUAGGGGGACUGCCGGCGGAAAGCCGGAGCCACGGUGGGGAUGACGUCAAGUCUAGCAUGGCCCAGAUAUCCAGGGCAUACACACACGCAUACAAUGGUCGGUACAAAGGGCAGCGAAACCGCGAGACGGAGCGAAUCCGAGAAAGCACGAUCGUAGUUCGGAUAGCAGGCUGCAACCCGCAUGCAUGAAGCUGGAGUUGCUAGUAACCGCGCGUCAGCCAUCGCGCGCGGAAUACGUUCCCGGGGCUUGUACACACCGCCCGUCACGUCAUGGGAGU
Molecule: ribosomal RNA, 1099 nt
Filed under: uncultured organism
Description: bacterial SSU rRNA
Rfam family: Bacterial small subunit ribosomal RNA
Source: RNAcentral